RNAcentral lists this long non-coding RNA (217 nucleotides) under Ananas comosus (pineapple). RNAcentral's name for it is "long non-coding RNA (ACOM_LNC021189)". Lineage: Eukaryota; Viridiplantae; Streptophyta; Magnoliopsida; Poales; Bromeliaceae. The record is from RNAcentral.
CCAACCAGGUCUUGGCCACAUAGGUAGGAUAUUGGCUUAUUUAACUCAACACUUAUUGACCAUAUAAAUUACGUAAUGCUACGCAAUACUACAAUUUCUUAAUUUGAGUACUGAUUCCUAUUUUUCUUCGUGUAUCAAAAAAAAAGUCUCAAUAAAUAUCUGUUAACUAAUUCUACUGUACCUUCCGAAGAACAGAGUUGACGAAUUAACAAAAAUU